GUCUAACACAUGCAAGUCGAACGUAGAAGCUUGGUGCUUGCACUGGGUGGAUGAGUGGCGAACGGGUGAGUAAGGCGUGAGUAACCUGCCCUUGACUCUGGGAUAAGCCUGGGAAACUGGGUCUAAUACUGGAUAUGACCUCCUGUCGCAUGGUGGGGGGUGGAAAGGGUUUGUACUGGUUGUGGAUGGGCUCACGGCCUAUCAGCUUGUUGGUGGGGUAAUGGCCUACCAAGGCGACGACGGGUAGCCGGCCUGAGAGGGUGACCGGCCACACUGGGACUGAGACACGGCCCAGACUCCUACGGGAGGCAGCA
Molecule: ribosomal RNA, 314 nt
Filed under: uncultured Kocuria sp.
Lineage: Bacteria; Bacillati; Actinomycetota; Actinomycetes; Micrococcales; Micrococcaceae
Description: bacterial SSU rRNA
Rfam family: Bacterial small subunit ribosomal RNA
Source: RNAcentral